CUUAUAAACCUUCCUGGAGGAGCUUGCUAUUUAACCGAUAAUCCACGUAACACCUCACCAACUUUGGAACACUCAGCCUGUAUACCAUCGUCGUCAGUCUACUCCUCAAGGAAAGUAUACAAAAGGGACACACGCCCACAACGUCAGAUCGAGGUGCAGCUUAUAAGUUGGAAAUCAGUGAGCUACAAUAUUCCCACAACAAACAUACCAAACAACAUUUUGGAAAGAUAAAUGAACAUUUUAUCCCCAAACAGGAUUCAGAAGUAAUGGCCAAAAGACAAUGACCAUGAACAAAAAGCUCUAUAAUUCGC
This 311-nucleotide ribosomal RNA is filed under the name Diplasterias sp. CLM 41. RNAcentral describes it as "partial 12S ribosomal RNA". Lineage: Eukaryota; Metazoa; Echinodermata; Asteroidea; Forcipulatida; Asteriidae. The record is from RNAcentral.